GAGUUUGAUCGUGGCUCAGGACGAACGCUGGCGGCGUGCUUAACGCAUGCAAGUCGAGCGGUAAGGCCUUUCGGGGUACACGAGCGGCGAACGGGUGAGUAACACGUGGGUGAUCUGCCCUGCACUUCGGGAUAAGCCUGGGGAAACUGGGUCUAAUACCGGAUAUGACCUCCUAUCGCAUGGUGGGUGGUGGAAAGAUUUAUCGGUGCAGGAUGGGCCCGCGGCCUAUCAGCUUGUUGGUGGGGUAAUGGCCUACCAAGGCGACGACGGGUAGCCGACCUGAGAGGGUGACCGGCCACACUGGGACUGAGACACGGCCCAGACUCCUACGGGAGGCAGCAGUGGGGAAUAUUGCACAAUGGGCGAAAGCCUGAUGCAGCGACGCCGCGUGAGGGAUGACGGCC
This 404-nucleotide ribosomal RNA is filed under the name uncultured microorganism. Its description in RNAcentral is "bacterial SSU rRNA". It matches the Rfam family "Bacterial small subunit ribosomal RNA", at positions 9 to 416 of the family's 1533-position model. The record is from RNAcentral.